CCUGCUGGGCAGGUGAUUGUAUUCUGUCUUGAGUUCAAAGAGGAAACAGGACUCCAUGGAUCAGGUCAGCACAGCUAAAUGGGAAUUCACAGCAUCUGAAGCAAAUCCCAGAAAUGGUUAGGUAGGGUAACAGUUGUUCAAGUGGGAAUCACAAGCAGCUGUAUGGAUCAGUCAUACCACAUGGUCUCGUUUAGUUCUGAAAUAACUUUGUGGCUCUUAUCCCUUCCCUUACUUGUUUCCUGUAUGCAAAUGAUGACUGGACUUUUUCCCUCUUCUCCUACUGAAUCCUGUAUCUUUGAAUGCUCAGCAAAGUUUGUUGUCUGCAUACAUAUUUGCAAAUAGCUGGAACAUCAGUGGAGUCAGACACAGGAAUCCAGCUUUCUCAGCAAGAGGGCACCAGCAAACUGGAAUGGGACAGAGAAGAAAGUUGCUCCUUGGUGAUGCAAGCAAGAAGAGCUGUGUCUGACCCAUGCUUGAACACUAGGCAAAGGUGGGUGCCUGGGCUCUCUUUGGCUGGGCCUGCUCCCAAGCCCUGGCUGUGUUACUGGAAAGGACGUGGACUGUGAAUUCCUUGCUCAUGUUCUGCUGUAGAGUGACACAUUUGUCUUUUCUUCCUUGCGUCUGGGACAGUGUGUGAACUAAGCAUUUCUUUAGGAUUGCUGGGCUCAAGCCAUCACAGGCAGCACCUUGCUGGUGGGAGCUUUGCUACCUGUGAACAGCAGGGCCAGUGUGAACAGAGUAGCUUCUGCUGGGGGAGAGGCAUGUGUGGGGAGGUACCAUGAGCAGGGCACGUUUUACUGCCAUUAGCAGGAGAUGUGAAUCUCCUCUUCUGGUGGCUUGCUUCAGCUGCUGGAGUGCCGGAGGAGCCUGUGUGUUGGAGCAGGAUUUAAGGUGGUGCUUCACCAGGGACAGGCCUGACAUGACAUGCUACAGUUUUAACACUGUACAGGAUGUGUUGUUAUUAUAUAUCAUCGUUGUAUAUAUCAUCAUUGUGAGAAGAAGCUAAUUUAAGACCCCUGAUCAGUCUCUCUGUUGAAGUUUUUUCCAAUGACUUCAACCAUUUGUAAAUGCCUUCUCUCAGAAAUCAUUUGCCUUUAUGAGCUGCUUGCAUUUUUUGUACUGUACAUCCCAGUUUGAUCAUUGUUAAUUAGUGUCGUGCCUCUGUGUUUUACAGCAAGCAGAAUUAUUUCUCUUACUAAUGGCUCUUUGCUGCUACUAAAUUCCUAUUCUACUCAUUGAGCAUGAAAGUUCCUUUUUCUUCCCUCACUGCAUUUCUUUGCUACCUUUGACUUAUCUGAAGUGGUUGACUGGCAAAAGUUUCUCUUUUGUAAACAAGCGGAUUAAAGGGAAAGGUGUUGGAUUAAAGAUGACAGACCCCAAUCUGAUCCUAUGAAAAUCAAUGGCAAAUCUCCCAUAAGCCACAGUGAAAACAAUGCCAGAAAGAAAAGGGCUCUCCAGGUGCAAUAUUAGUGUGAUUUUAAAGGAAAGUGGAAUGCAGUAUUCUUCAUCUCCCCUCUUGUUUGUAGUUGCCUUUUUUUGGAGUGUAGCAUUUCUGGUGAGUUAGCAAAAUGCAGCUUUUGUACAGGGAAUUUGUGAAUGCUUUAUUACAAUUAAAAACACAGAGUAAGAGCUCAUGCCAUUGUCCUGAGUUUGGAUAUCCUUGAGCAAAAAAAAAAGCUGUUGAGUGCUGGCUAUCCGAAUAAAGGCUCAGUACAUACGAAGGUUCUAAAAUAA
Molecule: long non-coding RNA, 1734 nt
Filed under: Numida meleagris (helmeted guineafowl)
Lineage: Eukaryota; Metazoa; Chordata; Aves; Galliformes; Numididae
Description: lncRNA (ENSNMEG00000021240.1)
Source: RNAcentral